This 228-nucleotide unclassified non-coding RNA is filed under the name Hevea brasiliensis (rubber tree). Lineage: Eukaryota; Viridiplantae; Streptophyta; Magnoliopsida; Malpighiales; Euphorbiaceae. The record is from RNAcentral.
GUGUCCGCCGUGAAUAGACAGAGGAUGGUGUACAAAGCUAUCUGGGAGGAGCUGCAGAGCACCGUCCACGCCGUUGAUCAAAUGACCACAAAAACUCCUGCUGAAGCUGCAAAAGGUCCGUAAUGUCUUAUGUAUUCUAUCGGGUUUGGCAUUUUGUAUCUUAUGUAACAGUCCAAAUAUAUGUUUGGCUCCGUUUCAUAUCCAAUAUUUAUAAAUAAUUGAAUCCUG